GACGAACGCUGGCGGCGUGCUUAACACAUGCAAGUCGAACGGUAAGGCCCUUCGGGGUACACGAGUGGCGAACGGGUGAGUAACACGUGGGUGAUCUGCCCUGCACUUCGGGAUAAGCCUGGGAAACUGGGUCUAAUACCGGAUAGGACUCCUGGCUUCAUGGUGGGGGGUGGAAAGCUUUUGCGGUGUGGGAUGGGCCCGCGGCCUAUCAGCUUGUUGGUGGGGUAAUGGCCUACCAAGGCGACGGCGGGUAGCCGGCCUGAGAGGGUGACCGGUCACACUGGGACUGAGAUACGGCCCAGACUCCUACGGGAGGCAGCAGUGGGGAAUAUUGCACAAUGGGCGCAAGCCUGAUGCAGCGACGCCGCGUGAGGGAUGACGGCCUUCGGGUUGUAAACCUCUUUCAGCACCGACGAAGCGCAAGUGACGGUAGGUGCAGAAGAAGGACCGGCCAACUACGUGCCAGCCGCCGCCGUAA
Molecule: ribosomal RNA, 478 nt
Filed under: uncultured bacterium
Lineage: Bacteria
Description: partial 16S ribosomal RNA
Rfam family: Bacterial small subunit ribosomal RNA
Source: RNAcentral